UAAGGAAUAUUGGUCAAUGGACGCAAGUCUGAACCAGCCAUGCCGCGUGGAGGAUGAAGGUCCUCUGGAUUGUAAACUUCUUUUAUAGGGGGCGAAAACGAGUCAUUCUUGAUUCUCUGACGGUACCCUAUGAAUAAGCACCGGCUAACUCCGUGCCAGCAGCCGCGGUAAUACGGAGGGUGCAAGCGUUAUCCGGAUUUACUGGGUUUAAAGGGAGCGUAGGCGGAUUGUUAAGUCCGUGGUGAAAGCCCUCAGCUCAACUGAGGAACUGCCAUGGAUACUAUCAAUCUUGAAUGUCGUUGAGGUUUGCGGAAUGGGUCAUGUAGCGGUGAAAUGCUUAGAUAUGACCCGGAACACCAAUUGCGAAGGCAGCAGGCUAAACGAAUAUUGACGCUGAGGCUCGAAAGCGUGGGGAUCAAACAGG
This 424-nucleotide ribosomal RNA is filed under the name uncultured Chitinophagaceae bacterium. Its description in RNAcentral is "bacterial SSU rRNA". It matches the Rfam family "Bacterial small subunit ribosomal RNA", at positions 355 to 776 of the family's 1533-position model. The record is from RNAcentral. Lineage: Bacteria; Pseudomonadati; Bacteroidota; Chitinophagia; Chitinophagales; Chitinophagaceae.